UGGGGAAUUUUGCACAAUGGGGGAAACUCUGAUGCAGCGACGCCGCGUGAUUUAGAAGGCCUUCGGGUUGUAAAAAUCUUUUGUAUGGGAAGAAAAUGACAGUACCAUACGAAUAAGGACCGGCUAAUUACGUGCCAGCAGCCGCGGUAAUACGUAAGGUCCGAGCGUUGUCCGGAAUCAUUGGGCGUAAAGGGUACGUAGGCGGAUAAGCAAGUUAGAAGUGAAAUCCUAUAGCUCAACUAUAGUAAGCUUUUAAAACUGCUCAUCUUGAGGUAUGGAAGGGAAAGUGGAAUUCCUAGUGUAGCGGUGAAAUGCGCAGAUAUUAGGAGGAAUACCGGUGGCGAAGGCGACUUUCUGGCCAUAUACUGACGCUGAGGUACGAAAGCGUGGGUAGCAAACAGG
Molecule: ribosomal RNA, 402 nt
Filed under: Verrucomicrobiota bacterium
Lineage: Bacteria; Pseudomonadati; Verrucomicrobiota
Description: Verrucomicrobia bacterium partial 16S ribosomal RNA
Rfam family: Bacterial small subunit ribosomal RNA
Source: RNAcentral